Molecule: ribosomal RNA, 253 nt
Filed under: uncultured bacterium
Lineage: Bacteria
Description: partial 16S ribosomal RNA
Rfam family: Bacterial small subunit ribosomal RNA
Source: RNAcentral
UACGAAGGGUGCAAGCGUUACUCGGAAUCAUUGGGCGUAAAGGGCGCGUAGGCGGUUUAGUAAGUUUGGUGUGAAAUCCCGGGGCUUAACUCCGGAAGUGCAUUGAAUACUGCUAGACUAGAGUGUAGGAGGGGAUGGUGGAAUUCCUGGUGUAGAGGUGAAAUUCGUAGAUAUCAGGAGGAACAACAGUGGCGAAGGCGGCCAUCUGGACUACAACUGACGCUGAGGCGCGAAAGCGUGGGGAGCAAACAGG